CAGCAGCCGCGGUAAUACGUAGGUGGCAAGCGUUGUCCGGAAUUAUUGGGCGUAAAGGGCUCGCAAGCGGUUUCUUAAGUCUGAUGUGAAAGCCCCCGGCUCAACCGGGGAGGGUCAUUGGAAACUGGGAAACUUGAGUGCAGAAGAGGAGAGUGGAAUUCCACGUGUAGCGGUGAAAUGCGUAGAGAUGUGGAGGAACGCCAGUGGCGAAGGCGACUCUCUGGUCUGUAACUGACGCUGAGGAGCGAAAGCGUGGGGAGCGAACAGGAUUAGAUACCCGCGUAGUCCCUGUCUCUUAUAC
This 301-nucleotide ribosomal RNA is filed under the name uncultured bacterium. RNAcentral describes it as "partial 16S ribosomal RNA". It matches the Rfam family "Bacterial small subunit ribosomal RNA", at positions 509 to 807 of the family's 1533-position model. The record is from RNAcentral.